CAAAAACAUGUCCAUUAUGGAAGAUAUUAAUGGUCAGGCCUGCUCACUGAUUAGUAAAUUUAAAGAGCCGCGGUAUGUUGACCGUGCAAAGGUAGCAUAAUCAUUAGUUUUUUAAUUGAGAACUCGUAUGAAUGGUUCGACAAAGGAAAGACUGUCUCUAUACUAAAUUUUGAAUUUAACUUUUAAGUGAAAAGGCUUAAAUAAUUCAGGGGGACGAUAAGACCCUAUAAAGCUUUAUAUAGUAUCUACAUUAUAUUAAAUUAAAGAUUUAAAAAUUAGUUAUAGGUACUUUAUUUUGUUGGGGCGACAAAGGUAAAAAUUUGGAUAACUGCUAUUAAGCUUGAACAAUAAUAAUUGAAAUAUGAUUAAAAGAUCCUUAUUAAAGAUUUAAAAAUUAAGUUACUUUAGGGAUAACAGA
Molecule: ribosomal RNA, 418 nt
Filed under: Calappa pelii
Lineage: Eukaryota; Metazoa; Arthropoda; Malacostraca; Decapoda; Calappidae
Description: partial 16S ribosomal RNA
Rfam family: Archaeal large subunit ribosomal RNA (bases 1-200)
Source: RNAcentral